ACCCACUAAAUUGUUUGAUUCUAGCAAUUCUGCUUCCUACGCCACCCUACUAAUACAUGCAAGAUAUUCAUACCCGCAAAACCAUUAUUCCUCUCUAAAUGUCCCACCAACAAAAAUAAAAUAUAAUUUAUAAAGUUCUUUCUCCCUACUCCUUUGCGCCUGCAGUAUUGAAAUUUUAGCUAUUUACGCAAGUAAGAAUAAGGGACUGGCUUUAGGGCUGAUCAAAUUCGUGCCAGCUAUCGCGGUUAGACGACAGGCCCAAGAAAGCAUAACUUUAUCUAAUAUAGUUAUAAACAUUUAUAGCAAUAGGUCCAAUUUAAACCUAAACUCUAUUCCAUAAAUAACACACAAUCAUUUAUCACAGCUUAGACAGAAACAAGGAUUAGAUACCCUUUUAUCCUAAGCCUUACCAUCCUAGGGCAGUACGAGCCCAGACUUAAAACCCAAAGAAAUUGGCGGCGUUUCAACCCACCUAGGGGAACCUGCGAAAUAAUCCGAUGAUCCGCGCUAUACCCAACCUUAUUUAGCUCGCAGCCUGUGUACUGCCGUCAUCAGUCUACCUCUAAAAGACCAAGUAGGCCCAACGAGCCCGACCUCACUAUGUCAGGUCGAAGUGCAGCCUAUAAUAAGGACCUCGUGGGUUACAACUCAAAUAAACAUAUCCGCGUAUUCUAAUUGUAAACAUUUUUACAAAGAAGGACUUAGAAGUAAUGAAUUUACAGAACAAAUCCAUGAAUCUGGCCAUCUGAAACGUGUACAAAUCGCCCGUCGCUCCCGUCGAAAGAUGGGAUAAGUCGUAACAAAGUUGACCUAACGGAAGUUGGGUCUAGACC
This 833-nucleotide non-coding RNA is filed under the name Orbinia latreillii. Lineage: Eukaryota; Metazoa; Annelida; Polychaeta; Orbiniidae. The record is from RNAcentral.